GUGGGGAAUUUUGGACAAUGGGCGCAAGCCUGAUCCAGCAAUGCCGCGUGCAGGAAGAAGGCCUUCGGGUUGUAAACUGCUUUUGUACGGAACGAAACGGUCCGGGUUAAUACCCUGGGCUAAUGACGGUACCGUAAGAAUAAGCACCGGCUAACUACGUGCCAGCAGCCGCGGUAAUACGUAGGGUGCAAGCGUUAAUCGGAAUUACUGGGCGUAAAGCGUGCGCAGGCGGUUUUGUAAGACAGGCGUGAAAUCCCCGGGCUCAACCUGGGAAUUGCGCUUGUGACUGCAAGGCUGGAGUGCGGCAGAGGGGGAUGGAAUUCCGCGUGUAGCAGUGAAAUGCGUAGAUAUGCGGAGGAACACCGAUGGCGAAGGCAAUCCCCUGGGCCUGCACUGACGCUCAUGCACAAAAGCGUGGGGAGCAAACAGGAUUAGAUACCCCUGUAGCC
RNAcentral lists this ribosomal RNA (449 nucleotides) under uncultured bacterium. RNAcentral describes it as "bacterial SSU rRNA". It matches the Rfam family "Bacterial small subunit ribosomal RNA", at positions 354 to 795 of the family's 1533-position model. The record is from RNAcentral.